Molecule: ribosomal RNA, 460 nt
Filed under: uncultured bacterium
Lineage: Bacteria
Description: partial 16S ribosomal RNA
Rfam family: Bacterial small subunit ribosomal RNA
Source: RNAcentral
CCUACGGGGGGCUGCAGUGAGGAAUAUUGGUCAAUGGGCUUACGCCUGAACCAGCCAAGUCGCGUGAGGGAAGACUGCCCUAUGGGUUGUAAACCUCUUUUGUCAGGGAGCAACGCCGGCUACGUGUAGCCGGACUGAGAGUACCUGAAGAAAAAGCAUCGGCUAACUCCGUGCCAGCAGCCGCGGUAAUACGGAGGAUGCGAGCGUUAUCCGGAUUUAUUGGGUUUAAGGGGUGCGUAGGCGGAAUGCCAAGUCAGCGGUAAAAUCGCGGGGCUCAACCUCGCUCCGCCGUUGAAACUGGCGGUCUUGAGUGGGCGAGAAGUAUGCGGAAUGCGUGGUGUAGCGGUGAAAUGCAUAGAUAUCGCGCAGAACUCCGAUUGCGAAGGCAGCAUACCGGCGCCCAACUGACGCUGAAGCACGAAAGCGUGGGUAUCGAACAGGAUUAGAUACCCUGGUAGUC